GGUUUUGUAGCUCAAUUUGGUUAGAGCACUCCGUUGUCAGCGGAAAGCUUGCGAGUUCAAGUCUCGUCGAAACCGCCA
Molecule: transfer RNA, 78 nt
Filed under: Paenibacillus polymyxa
Lineage: Bacteria; Bacillati; Bacillota; Bacilli; Caryophanales; Paenibacillaceae
Also listed under: 1 other name
Description: tRNA-Asp
Rfam family: tRNA
About the family: Transfer RNA (tRNA) molecules are approximately 80 nucleotides in length. Their secondary structure includes four short double-helical elements and three loops (D, anti-codon, and T loops).
Source: RNAcentral